GACGGUAAAUGUACCAUAAAUUCACAGUGUCGACAAAUGAUCGUCGAAUGACCGUCACUUGACUAUCGAACGGCCGUCAUUUGACAGUGAACGACGAGUAUCAUUGUGAAAGUUUUUCACUGUUACUUUAUGAUUUUUAUUCUGUAUAGUUAUCAUACUUCACUAUUCGAAAAACCAAAUUUUUACUCGACUUCUCCGAUUUUUUACCUGAGUAAAAAUCGUAGAUCAUCGAUCGAUCGUCUGUCAUUUGACAGUCAUUCGAAAACAUAUAAAUUGUCAAAAAACCGUAACUCGGUGGUAGAUGCACAGUAGUCUGUGAGUGAAACGAGCGUAUAAUGUCGGUCUAUAGAAACCUCGCGGUUUCAAAUCACCGUUGUUCCACCAAAGGUACUGCAGUGAAACCACGGUGGAAAACUGAGUAACCACGGAUCAACAGGAAGAAACUACUUACGGUCAUGAUUAUUGCACGCCACUGUGCAGUUGUACAACUAUAAUACGUGGAGAAGCUUUAUUAAUGACGCUUUUGUUAGGAGCAGAACGUUCCCUCACAUGGAAGGCGACUAGGGCAAUUUUAUCAAUGAUUAAUACUUUGUUUGGAGACGAAGUAGUGCCAGCUUCAAAGAUUAAAUUAUUUAAAUUAUUAAAUUUGAAUGAAAAUAUUGUAACUUAUCAUUUGUUCUGUGAAGGAUGCUCAAAUUAUUUUGGUGCUCAGAAUAAAUUAGACAAAAAAAAUAAAGUAUGUGAUGUAUGCAAAGACAACAACAAUCCUCCAGAAAUUUCAUAUUUUCUGACUUUCGAUGUUUCUUCACAACUAAAAAAUAUAUUAGAACAUGCAGAUGUGCGAAAAUUUUUAUUACAACGUUUUGCAAAUGAUGUCGAGAAUAAUUCAGAAAAGAAUUAUAUCUGUAAUAUGAGUGAUGGACGUUUGUACCAAAAUUUAUCAGCAGUGAACAGAACAAUAUGCAAAUAUUGUUCAAAAUAAUAACAAUUAUUCCAUCUCUUACAGACACACCAACAAUCAGAUCUACUGUAAAAUCGCCUUGUCCAUCAAACAAAAUUGGAUUUUGGAAACAAAAUAGAGUGCGAAAAAAUUUAAUUGCACGUGUGUAGUAAAGAAAAACUUGGUUUGAACAAUCUUAGAUUUACUUAUUUAAUUAUUAACUCGAUGGAAUAGUAUAGUUUUAAAAAAUUCCAUUAUUUGUAUGUGUUUUUUAUAGUUUUGUAAGUGAAUUUUUUUAAGUUCAUCAUAUAAUAAGUAGGAUUUAGAGUACUUUUCGCAAAAUGAUAUGCUUAUAUUACAUCAAAGAGAAUUAGAGAAUAAAACUUUGUCAAAUAAUGACUUAAUUUUGCGUUCAUAGCAUAAACUAUAAUGACUUUUAUAUUAUAAAAUUGUUACUAUAAUUA
Cotesia glomerata is the source of this 1404-nucleotide RNA transcript. RefSeq lists it as uncharacterized. The transcript has 4 exons. Lineage: Eukaryota; Metazoa; Arthropoda; Insecta; Hymenoptera; Braconidae. The record is from RefSeq and is a predicted model, not a curated record.